GGAGUUCUGUUCCAAGAAAAUCGGUCUCUGGAGUCAUUGAAGACAUCAUAGUGGAGACAAUUAUUUCCCCAGAAGGAAUAGCCAUUGACUGGAUAUAAAAUUUGUUGUACUGGACAGAUGCAGUACACGACCAUAUUCAGGUGUCACGACUGGAUGGUACAGACAGAAAAACCAUCAUUCAAAAUGAUGGUAGCCUUGACAAGCCAAGACCAAUUGUGGUUGAUCCCAAUACUGG
RNAcentral lists this long non-coding RNA (235 nucleotides) under Mytilus galloprovincialis (Mediterranean mussel). The record is from RNAcentral. Lineage: Eukaryota; Metazoa; Mollusca; Bivalvia; Mytilida; Mytilidae.